AGUGAACGCUGGCGGUAGGCCUAACACAUGCAAGUCGAACGGCAGCACAGGAGAGCUUGCUCUCUGGGUGGCGAGUGGCGGACGGGUGAGGAAUACAUCGGGAUCUACUCUGUCGUGGGGGAUAACGUAGGGAAACUUACGCUAAUACCGCAUACGACCUACGGGUGAAAGCAGGGGACCUUCGGGCCUUGCGCGAUUGAAUGAGCCGAUGUCGGAUUAGCUAGUUUGCGGGGUAAAGGCCCACCAAGGCGACGAUCCGUAGCUGGUCUGCAAGGAUGAUCAGCCACACGGGAACUGAGACACGGGCCAGACGCCUACGGGAGGCAGCAGUGGGGAAUAUUGGACAAUGGGCGCAAGCCUGAUCCAGCCAUACCGCGUGGGUGAAGAAGGCCUUCGGGUUGUAAAGCCCUUUUGUUGGGAAAGAAAUCCAGCUGGCUAAUACCCGGUUGGGAUGACGGUACCCAAAGAAUAAGCACCGGCUAACUUCGUGCCAGCCGCCGCCGUAA
This 506-nucleotide ribosomal RNA is filed under the name uncultured bacterium. Its description in RNAcentral is "partial 16S ribosomal RNA". It matches the Rfam family "Bacterial small subunit ribosomal RNA", at positions 29 to 523 of the family's 1533-position model. The record is from RNAcentral.